AGAACGAACGCUGGCGGCGUGGAUAAGACAUGCAAGUCGAGCGAGAUUUUUUCCUGUAGCAAUACAGGGAAAAGUCUAGCGGCGAACGGGUGCAUAACACGUGGGCAAUCUGCCGAGAAGUGGGGGAUAGCUCGCCGAAAGGCGAAUUAAUACCGCAUGUGAUUAGAGUGGACAUCCAUUCAAAAUCAAAGUCGGGGCAACCUGACGCUUCUUGAGGAGCCCGCGGCCUAUCAGCUAGUUGGUGGGGUAACGGCCUACCAAGGCGACGACGGGUA
This 275-nucleotide ribosomal RNA is filed under the name uncultured bacterium. RNAcentral's name for it is "partial small subunit ribosomal RNA". It matches the Rfam family "Bacterial small subunit ribosomal RNA", at positions 26 to 285 of the family's 1533-position model. The record is from RNAcentral.